RNAcentral lists this ribosomal RNA (476 nucleotides) under uncultured actinomycete. RNAcentral's name for it is "bacterial SSU rRNA". It matches the Rfam family "Bacterial small subunit ribosomal RNA", at positions 514 to 987 of the family's 1533-position model. The record is from RNAcentral. Lineage: Bacteria; Bacillati; Actinomycetota; Actinomycetes; Actinomycetales.
GCCGCGGUAAGACGUAGGGCGCAAGCGUUGUCCGGAUUUAUUGGGCGUAAAGAGCUCGUAGGCGGCCUGUCGCGUCGACCGUGAAAACCCGCAGCUCAACUGCGGGCUUGCGGUCGAUACGGGCAGGCUGGAGUUCGGUAGGGGAGACUGGAAUUCCUGGUGUAGCGGUGAAAUGCGCAGAUAUCAGGAGGAACACCGGUGGCGAAGGCGGGUCUCUGGGCCGAUACUGACGCUGAGGAGCGAAAGCGUGGGGAGCGAACGGGAUUAGAUACCCUGGUAGUCCACGCUGUAAACGUUGGGCGCUAGGUGUGGGGGGCCUCUCCGGUUCUCUGUGCCGCAGCUAACGCAUUAAGCGCCCCGCCUGGGGAGUACGGCCGCAAGGCUAAAACUCAAAGGAAUUGACGGGGGCCCGCACAAGCGGCGGAGCAUGCGGAUUAAUUCGAUGCAACGCGAAGAACCUUACCUGGGUUUGACAU